GGAGCUGGGGUUCAGUGGCAGGACACCUGCAUUGCAAUGCAGAAGGUCCUGGGUUCGAUCCCCAGCAUCUCCA
Podarcis lilfordi (Lilford's wall lizard) is the source of this 73-nucleotide non-coding RNA. NCBI's taxonomy places the organism in Eukaryota, Metazoa, Chordata, Lepidosauria, Squamata, Lacertidae. The record is from the annotation of a GenBank genome assembly.